CAAAACUUAAACUCUGUCUGCUCAGUUAUAUAUGCCAUGCAGAAACAGCAUUCAAAGGAGGAGCUAGUGAAGCACCAUCACUUUAGCUUCAGCCAUGACUAUACUGGCUCCAAAUAGUGCCUUCUUUCAGCAUUACUUACAUGAAUCUCUUGUUGUCUCUUUUAACCAUCUCCGACGCUUAGGUGUUGGAUAUCUGGAAACUGAAGACAGACUAACCGCUGAAGCAAAGAGAAGAGGUUGGGGCUGCCUUAUAACUGAAGAAAAAACUUCCUGCCCUCUGGCACAAAAGUUACCAAACCUUAUCGCAAGGAACUACUCUGAGUUCCUUAAACUGUUCAAGCAAACGCGAGGGCUCACAGCCUCACACUCAGCACUGAGUGCUCUCAAGAGCUAUAGCCCAACUGAGCUGGAAAACUCCUUGAGCAGGUGUAAUCUUUCAAUAUGUUUGUUAUGGACUGCACCCUUGCCUGAUGCUGAUGAAAAGACCCCUGAUGUAGAAGUGAAAGCUUUGCCAUUUUGAGGAGCAAUAGCAAGAACAUGAGAUGAGACUUGAUCAUUUUCUAAAUGUGAUGUAACUGCAGAUGCCUGAACCCAACCACCUGGGAGCUGCCUCACAGCUACUAGUUUUGAUGCGCUUCAUAGAAAUAAGCAGGUAUCAGGUUCGGGGAAGCUGUCACUAUGCUGUGCUCGGAGUCGCAUUGCUCUCGGAGGACACCUGGUGGAAGCACUCUCAUCCACAAAGCCUCCUUUAUGGUGCCUGGACCACAGGGAUAUGUUUGCCUGGAAGCUGCCAAGCAAAGGAUGGUUUUGACUCUUAAGGAAGACGCUGGCAAGUCAUUGACUAGAGUUGGGCAUAGGUGUCCCCCUGAGUUUUGAGACUGCUUUCCCUGUAAUGGUACUGAGCGUGCAGAAAAUCACAGCAGGGAGCAGAGGAGGCAGGUGGAAGAUGGUUUAUUGUGUCCAGGAGUAUGAAUGCAGUGGACUAGACUCUGCAAAACUGCAGAUGAGAUAUCCUGAAUCAUGAAUAUUCCUAAUCACCAUUGCAUGUGAAAGUGUGAAUGUAAAGGCUUCUGCGUGUGGCCAUGGUAUCUAGAAAUGUAAACCGAGCUUUCU
RNAcentral lists this long non-coding RNA (1113 nucleotides) under Apteryx owenii (little spotted kiwi). RNAcentral's name for it is "lncRNA (ENSAOWG00000006685.1)". The record is from RNAcentral. Lineage: Eukaryota; Metazoa; Chordata; Aves; Apterygiformes; Apterygidae.